Molecule: long non-coding RNA, 202 nt
Organism: Rosa chinensis
Lineage: Eukaryota; Viridiplantae; Streptophyta; Magnoliopsida; Rosales; Rosaceae
Exons: 3
Source: RefSeq, a predicted model, not a curated record
AAAGAAACAAUGAAUGGAAGACAAGUAGCCUGUUGCUCAAAACAUAUGGGUAGAUCAUCAUCCUGGUGGUGGGCAUUGGUUUGCUGCGGGUCUCUCUCCUAAUAUUCCAGGCAGAAACAGGGUCUCCAUGCAUAGCAGCCCACAUUUUCAGGAUUGAAGGAGCGGUGAGUCUUCGUUAUCCCAUCAUCAUAUCAGAUUUUAG